CCUACGGGUGGCAGCAGUAGGGAAUUUUCCGCAAUGGGCGAAAGCCUGACGGAGCAACGCCGCGUGAGUGAGGACGGCCUUCGGGUUGUAAAACUCUGUUCUUGAGGAAGAAUUCCUUCCAGGCGAACAGCCUGGAAGGUUGACGGUACUCAAGGAGAAAGCCCCGGCUAACUACGUGCCAGCAGCCGCGGUAAUACGUAGGGGGCGAGCGUUAUCCGGAAUUAUUGAGCGUAAAGCGCGCGCAGGCGGCUGAUUAAGUCAGGUGUGAAAGGCUGCGGCUCAACCGCAGAGCGGCACCUGAAACUGGUCAGCUUGAGUGCAGGAGAGGGGAGCGGAAUUCCCGGUGUAGCGGUGGAAUGCGUAGAGAUCGGGAGGAACACCAGUGGCGAAGGCGGCUCUCUGGCCUGUAACUGACGCUGAGGCGCGAAAGCGUGGGGAGUAAACAGGAUUAGAUACCCGAGUAGUC
This 466-nucleotide ribosomal RNA is filed under the name uncultured bacterium. Its description in RNAcentral is "bacterial SSU rRNA". It matches the Rfam family "Bacterial small subunit ribosomal RNA", at positions 338 to 795 of the family's 1533-position model. The record is from RNAcentral.